GAUGAAGAACGUAGUGAAAUGCGAUAAGUAAUGCGAAUUGCAGAAUCCGUGAGUCUUCGAAUCUUUGAACGCACAUUGCGCCCUCUGGUAUUCCGGAGGGCAUGCCUGUUCGAGCGUCAUUAUCACCCCUCAAGCCCGGCUUGUUGUUGGAUGCAGCGCUUAUCCCGCUCCUCCCAAAGAUAAUGACGGCGUCUGCGACGACUCCUGUACACUGAGCUUUCGGGCACGUACACGGCUAGAAGUCCAGACCCGGUCGCCGUCCCCCCCGCGGGGACACCCAUUACCACAAGGUUGACCUCGGAUCAGGUAGGAAUACCCGCUGAACUUAAGCAUAUCAAUAAGCGGAGGA
This 349-nucleotide unclassified non-coding RNA is filed under the name soil metagenome. Its description in RNAcentral is "partial contains 5.8S ribosomal RNA, internal transcribed spacer 2, and large subunit ribosomal RNA". The stretch from base 1 to 119 matches the Rfam family "5.8S ribosomal RNA", at positions 35 to 154 of the family's 154-position model. The record is from RNAcentral.